UACGUAGGUGGCAAGCGUUAUCCGGAAUUAUUGGGCGUAAAGCGCGCGCAGGCGGUUUCUUAAGUCUGAUGUGAAAGCCCACGGCUCAACCGUGGAGGGUCAUUGGAAACUGGGGAACUUGAGUGCAGAAGAGAAAAGCGGAAUUCCACGUGUAGCGGUGAAAUGCGUAGAGAUGUGGAGGAACACCAGUGGCGAAGGCGGCUUUUGGUCUGUAACUGACGCUGAGGCGCGAAAGCGUGGGGAGCAAACAGG
This 252-nucleotide ribosomal RNA is filed under the name uncultured bacterium. Its description in RNAcentral is "partial 16S ribosomal RNA". It matches the Rfam family "Bacterial small subunit ribosomal RNA", at positions 524 to 776 of the family's 1533-position model. The record is from RNAcentral.